AUUGUUUACUAUUAUUAUUCAAUAUUGAGAACAAAACGUCUUGGCGGAUGAAUUAUCAACGAAGUAACAACUUGUCUAUGUAAGAUCUCACGUGUGUCUUAAUCAAUUCAUUUUUUAGUAUACAUUACAUGUAUAUACACGCUGUAGAUCCUAAUCGUUGUAGUGAAAUGCAAUGUGCCUUUUAACCACAAAACAAUAUUGAUUGAUUUAAUGACGUUUGCAUUAGUCCAAUGGCAAAUAUAUUUACUAUACAAAGAGAGAUAAGCAGGUCGUUCUUGAAUAUUUGUUCAAAAAUUCCUUUUUAGGUUGCAGACUUCUCCGUAGGCUUCCAUGCAAAACAGCUCAUCUUUGAAAAUAAAAAUAAUAAAAUGCUACAUAGAAAAAAAUGUUCAUGUUCAUAUCAUGUAAGUACUAAUGUGAAAUUGUGAUUUAAUCGAAGAAAAAAGUUAAUCAUGCCCCGAAGAAUAAAAAGUUACGUAAACCUGAAGUCAAAACAUUUUUUUUCUACUUUCUGUUUGCUGUUUUUACUAGGCCGCACCACUUCCUGUAAACAUGAUAUCCUUCCACUUUCCUGGAUUGAUAUCCCCAAAAAGAUGCAAGAUUUUUUUUUGAAAUCUAUAUAUCUGUUUCAAUAAUUAAUUCAGCAUAAACCUAAAAUCAAACAGAAAAAAAUUAGUCCAGAAAAAACAUGCAUCGGAAACUUGAGUUGUAAUACAAG
This 718-nucleotide long non-coding RNA is filed under the name Mytilus galloprovincialis (Mediterranean mussel). The record is from RNAcentral. Lineage: Eukaryota; Metazoa; Mollusca; Bivalvia; Mytilida; Mytilidae.